UUUGUUUAUCUCAACUCUCCUCAAGAAGGAGUCCGAAUCUGCACAGAUGCGUUUCCGGUGCAUUUCCAAUUCUCAGACGACACGAAGAUUCUGCAUGUUGGUUAUCAUGCGGAGAUGAAGAAGUGUCUUCUGGAUUAUCAUUACACUGAGGACAGCUACACUCAUCAUCACAUCAAGAUCUACAGCAUUGCAGCCUCACCACAGUAGAGAUGAAGCCUUGGAUUAUCAUCCAACUGAGGACAGCUAAUUUAUAAACUCAUCAUCACCAGCAAGAUCUACAAUGUCACAGCUUCAGCACAGAGGUGAAGGUGUAUCUCCUUGAUUAUAUCAUCAUACUUAGGACAUCUAAACUCAUCAUCACAUCAAGACCACAACAUCGCAGCCUCAGCACAAAGAUGAAGAUAUGUCUGUUGGAUUAUCAUUUCACUGAGGACAGCUUAUUUAUAAACUCAUCAUCACCUACAAUAUCUACAACCUUGUAGCCUUAGUAGAGCGGAGAUGAAGGUGUGUCUUCUGGAUUAUCAUCACACUGAGGACAGCUAAACUAAUCAUCACAUCAAGAUCUACAGCAUUGCAGCCUCACCACAGCGGAGAUGAAGGUGUGUCUUUUGGAUUAUCAUCACACUGAGGACAGCUAAACUCAACAUCAUAUCAGGAUCUCCAGCAUCGCAGCCUUACCAAAGCAGAGAUGAAGGUAUGUCUUUUGGAUUAUCAUCCAACUGAGGACAGCUUAUUUUUAACUCAUCAUCACCAGCAAGAUCUACAAUGUCACAGCUUCAGCACAGCGGAGAUGAAGGUGUGUCUUCUGGAUUAUCAUCACACUGAGGACAGCUAAACUCGUCAUCACAUCAAGAUCUCCAGCAUCGCAGCCUCACCACAGAGAUGAAGGUAUGUCUUUUGGAUUAUCAUCCAACUGAGGACAGCUUAUUUUUAACUCAUCAUCACCAGCAAGAUCUACAAUGUCACAGCUUCUGCACAGAGAUGAAGGUGUAUCUCCUUGAUUAUCAUCAUACUUACGACAUCUAAACUGAUCAUCACAUCAAGACCACAACAUCGCAGCCUCAGCACAGGAGUUGUUUUGGGAUGGCACUGAGUUUUCAACGGAUAUGACGGUAUGAUUCCUGGAUUAUCAUCACACUGACGACAGCUUUUUUAUAAACUCAUCAUCACUAGCAAGAUCUACAACGUUGCAGCCUCAGCACAGCAGAGAUGAAGGUAUGUCUCUUGGAUUAUCAUCCAACUGAGGACAGCUAAUUUAUAAACUCAUCAUUACGAGCAAGAUCUACAAUGUCACAGCUUCAGCACAGGUGACCCUUUCCAUACAGCAUGGUGGCUUCUUGGGGAACUGACUCUACCUAUCUUGUAAUGGAUAAUACCUAAAAAAGUAGGCGGUGAAAAACAGCAGCAAGAGCAGUGCAUUAUCUCAUCCAUGUGUAGAAUACAUGAUAUGUGGCAACAUUAUAAAUGUCAAAUGAUGUGCAAAGCCUGAUUUUAGACACCCAUUACAAGGAGGAAUCUGCAUCUGGUAUUGGUAGUAAGGAGAAAUCUUGAAUGGGUAUAUAUUGUUUCCUGAUGGCAGUAAUAGGUAAUUUGUCACCUCUUACACAACCAAACUCAAAUCAUAACAUUAAAUGCUUCAUUUGAUACUGAAUAAUAUUAUUGUAAUAUUGAAAAUUUUAUUUUUUGUAAUUCUCAAUCUUCUCAUAUCAAUUGCCAAUAAACAACGCAGUCAACUGAUACACUUAUCUCAGAUUAUUACAGUUGUUAAGCUUAUUUUUUACAAAUUUUACAAACAUUGGACUAGAUUUGUCAACAUCAUUUACAUUUGAAUAUGUUUAGGUAUGGAAUUUGCCAGUGUUUUCAAUCUUAUUUUUAGUUUUCUUAAAUAUUUUCUGAAAACAUCAUUUUCAUUAGGCACAGUCAACUGAUAAGCUGAUCUCAGAUUAUUUCAGUUGUUAAGCAUCAUUUGUAGAAAUUUCACGAACAUUGGACUUGAUUUGUCAAAAUUAUUAACAUAAAAGUAUUUUAAACCAUGGAAUUUGCCUUUUUUCUGUGCAAUUUUUAGUUUUCUCAAAUAUAUUGUCCGAAAAAUCAAUUUCAUUACACACAGUCAACUGAUAAGCUUAUGGCUGAUUAUUUCAGUUGUUAAUUAUAAGCUUCAUUGUGCAAAGUUCACAAAGAAUUAAGGAAAUUUCACAAAGUUAUUAACAUUUAACUAUUUUUAUAUACAGCAUCAGCAGUUUUUAUGUACAGACACAGAUGUGUCUGUAAAUAUAGCCGUCACCUUCGUCUGUCUUCGCCAUCGUCACCUUGCACUUUCACCGAUAACACAAUAAGUGAAAAAUCCUUUUACCUUUUGGCUUGAAACUUACAGAAC
Lingula anatina is the source of this 2377-nucleotide unclassified non-coding RNA. Lineage: Eukaryota; Metazoa; Brachiopoda; Lingulata; Lingulida; Lingulidae. The record is from RefSeq and is a predicted model, not a curated record.